GUGCCCCCUUCUCGCUCUUUCCUGCUUUAAACAUUAGAAGCCAAUUGCCAAAGGUCUUUUUCAGAAGUACUCCGAUCUUUUUUAAAGGGAUCUGACCUCGUCCCUGCGGAUCUGAUGGGAGAAGAUUGGACAACAUGUAUGAGUAACCAUGGACAAAGGGGAACUGAGGUCUCCCCAGCCAG
Alligator sinensis (Chinese alligator) is the source of this 182-nucleotide long non-coding RNA. RefSeq lists it as uncharacterized. Lineage: Eukaryota; Metazoa; Chordata; Crocodylia; Alligatoridae. The transcript is spliced from 3 exons. The record is from RefSeq and is a predicted model, not a curated record.